AACACGCCUAUUGUCAUCCCCUGAUGGUCUUCCAUGAAUGACUGCCUCAGGAUCAUCACCGGAUUCCAUUAUUGUGGCAUGAGCAACAAUGUUAUCCAUUGAACCCACAGCCAACUUGCAAUCAAUCUCAGGGUCUCCAACCCUGUAAGUCCACUUUUUUUUCUCAGGGAUAUUAACAGACUUAGAAGCUUUGUUUUUCUCAGGGUAUUCAACUGAGUGAACUGACUCAGAAUCCUUCUUUUCCUCAGGGGCAUCAACUGAUUCCAAUUUCUUCUUCUUACGUGAUUGAGCGGCUGCAAAGUUCCUCGUAAUCUUAUUCAAAACACCCUUAACUACUUCCUUCAUAGGCACUGCUUGUACCUUUUCCUCCGGGGGCAGAGGGAGUUCAUUUUUUUUUUGAAAUAGCGAUUUUUGGCGUGUAUUUUCACCUUCCAGGUUUGGUACCGAAACACCCUCCUCCAUUGUGUGUGAACUUCCUUGACCAGAAAGCGGUGUAUUAUGCUUAAUGCCAGCCCCAAAAUGUCCUGCUAGCAAGUUUGUUGUGAAUUCUUCAAACUUUGCCUCCCAACGCUUUGCCUCUUCUGCCUCAAUUUCUUCCCUUAGUUGCUCCUUUGCUUCCUUCAAUAUUACUGGUUUCGCUUCCUCUAUUAUCUUUUUACUCUCCUCAUGCACUAUCUUUCUCAUCCUUGCUUCAAAGCUCUGCUUCCUAAGAUUUGACAGUCCAAAGUACUCGUGCGGAGUAAUAUGACCUCCCACUCCACGUACUCGAUCACUAUACUCAAGGGUCUCCAAAGCCUGAGUUAAAAUAUCAUUCAUCCCCGCAGCGGUCCUUUUCCCUUCAUCAACCUCUUUUCUAACUUCAGCCUGAUAACAGGAGUUACCAAUGUAAGCAAUAGAAUAACAUUUAAAAAGCUGCACACAUACAAUUCAAACGACCAAGAACUUACCACUCUUUCAACAGCCUUUUUUGUCUCUUCAUCUGGUAUUUCCCCCUCCUUUGGAAUACGCCCUCGGACCCAAGUUAUAUCUCUAUCAAUUUCUCCUUCACCUGGAACCAAGCCUACACCUUCUUCACCUAGUUCCUCAAUCUACAAAAAUGGAUUUCUGAAUUAGAACACUAUCACAAGCACAAAACAAAACACAUCUUGACUAUCUAAUGUUAAUUUACUAACCACUUCUUCUUCCACUCCUAUAUAACCCUUACGGGACAUUCUAUGUGGAUACUUGUUCUUCUUGAGCCUUUUAUGUUGUUAUUCACGUUUUGCCUGCAAAAUCCACCACUCACUUUAAAAACUCCACGAUAUGGCAAGUAGAAAAUCAGAUCUACUACUAAGUUGAAACAAGUUAUGAUAUUAAAAAUGCCGUUCAUACCAAGAAUUCAGGCGUUGUCCGUGACUUGACAAAUAUAGUCCAAUGAUCAGGCGGUAUGAAAGGAUAAUCAUUAGGAGGAAACUUCAGCUUUUCAAGGGAAUCAAGGUAGGGGAUGAUGUAUUUUGAGUAAGGUGAGACUUGAACUCCCUCCACUUAGUUGAUGCAGAUUGCAUAAUCCUCUUCCUAUGUUCUUCACCGAUUAUGAAUGGAAGCUGUGCAGUUAAGAUACAAAUGAGUAUGAAACUCUGAUCCACUAAUCAGAACUAGAAGUAAUUCAAUUAAAAAAUUAACAGAAAAAUAAAGCACUUAGUACCUGAAGACGUUUCCAUAUUUUAGCUCUGUCAUCCUCUUUUACCCCUUUCCAG
RNAcentral lists this long non-coding RNA (1736 nucleotides) under Fragaria vesca (wild strawberry). RNAcentral's name for it is "long non-coding RNA (FVES_LNC000674)". The record is from RNAcentral. Lineage: Eukaryota; Viridiplantae; Streptophyta; Magnoliopsida; Rosales; Rosaceae.